GAUGAAGAACGCAGCGAAAUGCGAUAAGUAGUGUGAAUUGCAGAAUUCAGUGAAUCAUCGAAUCUUUGAACGCACAUUGCGCCCUAUGGUAUUCCGGGGGGCAUGCCUGUUCGAGCGUCAUUUCACCACUCAAGCCUCGCUUGGUAUUGGGCAACGCGGUCCGCCGCGUGCCUCAAAUCGACCGGCUGGGUCUUCUGUCCCCUAAGCGUUGUGGAAACUAUUCGCUAAAGGGUGUUCGGGAGGCUACGCCGUAAAACAACCCCAUUUCUAAGGUUGACCUCGGAUCAGGUAGGGAUACCCGCUGAACUUAAGCAUAUCAAUAAGCGGAGGA
RNAcentral lists this unclassified non-coding RNA (331 nucleotides) under soil metagenome. RNAcentral describes it as "partial contains 5.8S ribosomal RNA, internal transcribed spacer 2, and large subunit ribosomal RNA". The stretch from base 1 to 120 matches the Rfam family "5.8S ribosomal RNA", at positions 35 to 154 of the family's 154-position model. The record is from RNAcentral.